This 1319-nucleotide long non-coding RNA is filed under the name Homo sapiens (human). Its description in RNAcentral is "HSALNT0035586". Lineage: Eukaryota; Metazoa; Chordata; Mammalia; Primates; Hominidae. The record is from RNAcentral.
CAUAAACAUUGUACUAUGCUGUACAAAUAUUACAUAGUUCAUGUGCUUAGAGAUUGCACAAUUUUUGUUUGGUUGACAAUAGCUAAUGUUUUCUUCUUCAUUUUCUAUUUCCUGAUUUUUCUUUAUUUAGUAUAUGCUACAUUAUCAUAAACAUAAGAACGUUUUACAAACUAAAGCAAAAGAAACCCUAGGAAAAAAAUGCACAAAUAAAAUAUAUAAACAUACAAUUAGAUGUACCAUGUACCCUUCUAAUUUAUUUAGACAUUUAAUUGUAGUACAAUUUUAAUUAAAGUCUGUGUAUUAUCUGCCAUCGUCUUAGUAUUUUUUAUAUAACAAAUUGUGUAAAUCAAAAAGCCUCAAUGUCAUUAUAAACUAUCUUGGCAGAGGUUGAUGUCCAAGGAAUAAUUUCUCUCCCAAAUUAUGUCAAUCAGAAUUUCACUCUACCAUAAUUCUUUUAAUCAGUUUCAGAGGAAUCAUAAAUUUCAAAAUUGUUCAAGGUUGUUGUUGUAGUUCAAGUACAUUUUGACAGGUGUAAAACUGUAGACAGACUGAUACAAACAUAUUCUAUUUGACACAAAAGUAUAUGGGUCCUUUUUUAAAUUCUAGACUUUAAAAUGUCUUGUCAACGUACACAUGUUCUCCUUGUGAAAUAAUUGCUUUUUAUUCUCUGGAUAGAAUAAUUUAAUCUUUAAACCUUCAAUUCACUGUUAAAAACAAAAUAUUACCUAAGGAUAUGCUUAUAAAAAUAAUUCACAGCUAGCUUUUCAAUUCAGAAAUAUAUGUGAAAAAUCAUCAAGCAUCUAAUGGAUUUCAAGGAGAAAUGGGUUAGUAAUUUAUUCCAUAUGUCUCAAUUUUUCCUAGAUUCAAGGCUUCCUUUAAAAUAAUUGUAGGCGUUUAAGAAACCAUGUAAACUAAAAAGAAGAAAUUGUGACACUGCCGCUUAGGUUUUUUAAAUCUUUUGACAUGAAUCAAUAUACUUUUUAAUUUUAUCUUAAUUAGACAUUGUGAGUUCACCAUCUUCCUGUCAGUACAGCAUCCAAGCUGAUUAUCAUAGAUUACAAGUUACACUAUCAACUGUAUUCUGAGACUCUUAAAAAAAAAUGAGUGUUUUUGUUUGGGUAUUCUUAAAGCAGGAGUGAGGACACAGCGAAAGUGAGACAAGGAAGAGAGAACAAAAUAAAACAGGAAAGAUAGAAAAGCCAGUACCACACGUGUUAAGAGGCAAGUUCCUGUGUUAGAUAUCUGGGCUUAAUUCUAUGGGAAGCUAUGUGGAACAUGCCUCAGAAUUACAUCACUGAAUCCAGGGAGAUUCUUCUUAG